Molecule: ribosomal RNA, 496 nt
Filed under: uncultured bacterium
Lineage: Bacteria
Description: partial 16S ribosomal RNA
Rfam family: Bacterial small subunit ribosomal RNA
Source: RNAcentral
GAUGAACGCUGGCGGCGUGCCUAAUACAUGCAAGUCGAGCGAACAGACGAGGAGCUUGCUCCUCUGACGUUAGCGGCGGACGGGUGAGUAACACGUGGAUAACCUACCUAUAAGACUGGGAUAACUUCGGGAAACCGGAGCUAAUACCGGAUAAUAUAUUGAACCGCAUGGUUCAAUAGUGAAAGACGGUUUUGCUGUCACUUAUAGAUGGAUCCGCGCCGCAUUAGCUAGUUGGUAAGGUAACGGCUUACCAAGGCGACGAUGCGUAGCCGACCUGAGAGGGUGAUCGGCCACACUGGAACUGAGACACGGUCCAGACUCCUACGGGAGGCAGCAGUAGGGAAUCUUCCGCAAUGGGCGAAAGCCUGACGUAGCAACGCCGCGUGAGUGAUGAAGGUCUUCGGAUCGUAAAACUCUGUUAUUAGGGAAGAACAAAUGUGUAAGUAACUAUGCACGUCUUGACGGUACCUAAUCAGAAAGCCACGGCUAACUACGU